RNAcentral lists this ribosomal RNA (637 nucleotides) under Aliarcobacter butzleri. Its description in RNAcentral is "partial 23S ribosomal RNA". It matches the Rfam family "Bacterial large subunit ribosomal RNA", at positions 1563 to 2186 of the family's 2925-position model. Lineage: Bacteria; Pseudomonadati; Campylobacterota; Epsilonproteobacteria; Campylobacterales; Arcobacteraceae. The record is from RNAcentral.
UUGACACUCUUCGGAGGAGAUGGAGAAUCGAUGAUACUGUCGUGCCAAGAAAAGCCACUAAGUUUAUUAUAUGUUGCCCGUACCGUAAACCGACACAGGUGGGUGGGAUGAGUAUUCUAAGGCGCGUGGAAGAACCCUGGUUAAGGAACUCUGCAAACUAGCACCGUAUCUUCGGUAUAAGGUGUGCCUACUUUUGUAUAUGAACUUGCUUCAAAAAGCGAAAGAGGUUGCAACAAAGAGUCCCUCCCGACUGUUUACCAAAAACACAGCACUUUGCUAACACGUAAGUGGAUGUAUAAGGUGUGACGCCUGCCCGGUGCUCGAAGGUUAACUGAUGAUGUCAGCGCAAGCGAAGCAUUUGAUUGAAGCCCGAGUAAACGGCGGCCGUAACUAUAACGGUCCUAAGGUAGCGAAAUUCCUUGUCGGUUAAAUACCGACCUGCAUGAAUGGCGUAACGAGAUGGGAGCUGUCUCAACCAGGGAUCCAGUGAAAUUGUAGUGGAGGUGAAAAUUCCUCCUACCCGCGGAAAGACGGAAAGACCCCGUGCACCUUUACUACAGCUUGACACUGUAGCUUGGAUAUUCAUGUGCAGGAUAGGUGGGAGGCUAUGAUGACUAGACGCCAGUAGAGUCGGAGC